Molecule: ribosomal RNA, 351 nt
Filed under: Triticum aestivum (bread wheat)
Lineage: Eukaryota; Viridiplantae; Streptophyta; Magnoliopsida; Poales; Poaceae
Description: partial small subunit ribosomal RNA
Source: RNAcentral
AUGGCCGGUUCUCAUAUCAUUGUAUGGGGACUCAUCUGCGGACAAAUACAAUGUUUGUUUCGGGGACCCGCGUUGGAGAUGCCUUUAGAUUCUUCCAUGGCACUUGCUGCAUUAUCCAAUGACUCUGAGUCGUUCUGCUUAUGGCCGCCUCGUUGCAAAAUUAAGAGGCUUAUGUUGCAUCGGGAGUUUAUUCCAUCUAAGCUUGGAAGAGAGCAAAAUAGCUUCCUAGAGAGCAAAUAUCCCAUCUCUUUGAGGCGUCAGAAAGAGAUGGGGACGCAUAGGCUCAAAAUUGAGGAGGAGCAUCGGGCGACAAAUGAACAGAUAGCCGAGGAGAACGGUUCAUCAUGCUAG